This is a long non-coding RNA of Mauremys mutica (yellowpond turtle), 1374 nucleotides long. RefSeq lists it as uncharacterized. The record is from RefSeq and is a predicted model, not a curated record. The transcript has 4 exons. NCBI's taxonomy places the organism in Eukaryota, Metazoa, Chordata, Testudines, Geoemydidae.
AGGAGAAUGGCGCGGCAGCCACAGCAAGGCUCCGUCACCCCGCGCUGAAAAAGCCCAACGCCCAUGCGCGACAGUUACCGGCUCCUGCCGCCCCGCCCUUCAGGCAUAAGGAGGAGGGGGAAGAACGAGCGGCGGCGGCGGCGGCGGCGAUUGGGAGGAGUUAACGUUUGGGGGCGGGGCCGCGGGCGCAGCCUUUUGCGCGCUAUGCCUGAGAAGGUAGCCGGGCUGCCGCCGUCUGGGUACUGUCCCGGGCUGCGCCGCCUUUCCAGCCACUGGUGCAAUGGGAGAGGAGAGCGUGCCCGCCCCCCAGCUCAGUGGAGCGGCUACUCCAUGGUUGCUGGCCUUACCCCCACACGGUUGCGUAACGUCGCGCUGUUCUUUGCCCCUACAUGGGAGGCGGAAGUGCAGCCCAGGAAGGACCAGUUUGGGGGGGAGCCAGGAACCCUUCACUCACCUUGUGGGGGUAAAAAGGAUGGAGAAGUGGAGAACUUGGCCCCAUACUAGCAAGAUUCCAUUUGUUCACUGAUUACUUUUGGAACAGAAAAGGUGCAGUGGACACAGCGUGCAGGUGCAAAGCCCAGGACCAUCUACUCUCCGGCUGAUUUAGAGCCUUCGAGGAGGACUACUGGAGAGGCCCGACAACUGUUGGACUUCGUCCCAGGCGGGGAGACCCUAUGGGAAGAUGGACACCAGGAAAGCAGGACCCUCCACAGUGUCAGUUUGUAGCUUUUAAAAUGCAGAUUUAAAAGAGACAGAAGGAUGAACAACUCUGUUGUGCAGGUGGAAACAAUUACAAGAAUCAGGCUGGAAUUUUGAAACUGAUAUUCCUCUCUCUGCUUACCACAUUAAAAAGUAGCUUGGAAUCUUUAUGACUUGUAAUAUAAGAAAAUAUAUCAGCAAUAUUCAGGAUAAUUUGGAAUCUGCAUUCACAUGUUUAUAUAUAUAUAUAUGUAUUUUAAUAUGCACUGUAUAUAUUAUAUAUCUGUAAUAUACAUAAAGAUCUGUACACAUAUAUAAACUCAAAUCUGUGUUUCACAUCAACAUCUACUGUAUGCUUCAUGAAGGAGACAAGACCCAUGUGUUUUGCAGAAGCUUUUAAAGCUGUUUCAUUUAUUUUAUUAGCCUUUAAUGAAUGUAAUUAGAACCCAAGUAAUUAAAUGCAAUUGUGCUCAGUAUGUUCCUGUUGUAAAUUGCCCUAAACAAUGUGCAUGGUGUGAACAAAUUUGUGGGAUUAAUAGAGGAUAGAUAAUGUUUUUGGAUAGUAUUUCACACUAAACGGCCGCAGAGAGAAACAAAGAAGCUGGCGCAGUGUCAUUAAUCUUAGUCAACUGGCAGCUCUGGUGUAAUUUGCAUGACUUAGGCCGUGACACAAGA